RNAcentral lists this ribosomal RNA (253 nucleotides) under uncultured bacterium. RNAcentral describes it as "partial 16S ribosomal RNA". It matches the Rfam family "Bacterial small subunit ribosomal RNA", at positions 524 to 776 of the family's 1533-position model. The record is from RNAcentral.
UACGAAGGGUGCAAGCGUUACUCGGAAUUACUGGGCGUAAAGCGUGCGUAGGCGGUUGUUUAAGUCUGUUGUGAAAGCCCUGGGCUCAACCUGGGAAUUGCAGUGGAUACUGGGCGACUAGAGUGUGGUAGAGGGUAGUGGAAUUCCCGGUGUAGCAGUGAAAUGCGUAGAGAUCGGGAGGAACAUCCAUGGCGAAGGCAGCUACCUGGACCAACACUGACACUGAGGCACGAAAGCGUGGGGAGCAAACAGG